AGUGAACGCUGGCGGUAGGCCUAACACAUGCAAGUCGAACGGCAGCACAGUAAGAGCUUGCUCUUACGGGUGGCGAGUGGCGGACGGGUGAGGAAUACAUCGGAAUCUACUUUUUCGUGGGGGAUAACGUAGGGAAACUUACGCUAAUACCGCAUACGACCUACGGGUGAAAGCAGGGGAUCUUCGGACCUUGCGCGAUUGAAUGAGCCGAUGUCGGAUUAGCUAGUUGGAGGGGUAAAGGCCCACCAAGGCGACGCUCCGUAGCUGGUCUGAGAGGAUGAGCAGCCACACUGGAACUGAGACACGGUCCAGACUCCUACGGGAGGCAGCAGUGGGGAAUAUUGGACAAGGGGCGCAAGCCUGAUCCAGCCAUACCGCGUGGGUGAAGAAGGCCGUCGGGGUGUAAAGCCCUUUUGUUGGGAAAGAAAAGCAGCAGGUUAAUACCCCGCUGUUCUGACGGUACCCAAAGAAUAAGCACCGGCUAACUUCG
RNAcentral lists this ribosomal RNA (490 nucleotides) under uncultured bacterium. Its description in RNAcentral is "partial 16S ribosomal RNA". It matches the Rfam family "Bacterial small subunit ribosomal RNA", at positions 29 to 505 of the family's 1533-position model. The record is from RNAcentral.